This 360-nucleotide RNase P RNA is filed under the name Oscillospiraceae bacterium. RNAcentral describes it as "RNase P RNA component class A". It matches the Rfam family "Bacterial RNase P class A". From Rfam's summary of the family: Ribonuclease P (RNase P) is a ubiquitous endoribonuclease, found in archaea, bacteria and eukarya as well as chloroplasts and mitochondria. Its best characterised activity is the generation of mature 5'-ends of tRNAs by cleaving the 5'-leader elements of precursor-tRNAs. Cellular RNase Ps are ribonucleoproteins. Lineage: Bacteria; Bacillati; Bacillota; Clostridia; Eubacteriales; Oscillospiraceae. The record is from RNAcentral.
CGACCAGGUUGGACAGCCGCGGAUGGGCACCGAAAGGUCCCAGAUGAGGAAAGUCCGGGCUCCACAGGGUAAGGAUAACGGGUAACGCCCGCCGGGGGUGACCCCAGGACAAGUGCAACAGAGAUAUACCACCGAAACGGCAGAUUCUGCCAUUUCGGCCAGGGUGAAAAGGUGCGGUAAGAGCGCACCCGGCCCAUGGAGACAUGGGUUUUACGAUGUAAACUCUAUCCGGAGCAACACCGUGGAGGGACAUAUGGCUGACCCGGCCGUCCCGAGGAGGUGGCUUGAUCCCGUGAGCAAUUGCGGGGCUAGAUAGAUGGCUGUUAAAACAGAACCCGGCUUACAGACCAGUGUCGCACC